CCUACGGGGGGCAGCAGUGGGGAAUAUUGCACAAUGGGGGAAACCCUGAUGCAGCGACGCCGCGUGAGUGAAGAAGUAAUUCGUUAUGUAACGCUCUAUCAGCAGGGAAGAAAAUGACGGUACCUGAGUCAGAAGCCCCGGCUAACUACGUGCCAGCAGCCGCGGUAAUACGUAGGGGGCAAGCGUUAUCCGGAUUUACUGGGUGUAAAGGGAGCGUAGACGGCAGUGCAAGUCUGGAGUGAAAGGCGGGGGCUCAACCCCCGGACUGCUCUGGAAACUGUACGGCGGGAGUGCAGGAGAGGUAAGUGGAAGUCCUAGUGUAGCGGUGAAAUGCGUAGAUAUUAGGAGGAACACCAGUGGCGAAGGCGGCUUACUGGACUGUAACUGACGUUGAGGCUCGAAAGCGUGGGGAGCAAACAGGAUUAGAUACCCGAGUAGUC
RNAcentral lists this ribosomal RNA (440 nucleotides) under uncultured bacterium. RNAcentral describes it as "partial 16S ribosomal RNA". It matches the Rfam family "Bacterial small subunit ribosomal RNA", at positions 338 to 795 of the family's 1533-position model. The record is from RNAcentral.